This 949-nucleotide long non-coding RNA is filed under the name Brassica napus (rape). RNAcentral describes it as "long non-coding RNA (BNAP_LNC024067)". The record is from RNAcentral. Lineage: Eukaryota; Viridiplantae; Streptophyta; Magnoliopsida; Brassicales; Brassicaceae.
GAAGCUUUCAAGUACAUCCGUCGACGGAUUUUGGAAGAGCAGGCCAAUUAUGAGGACUCUUUCUAAGAAGAGAGUCAAAGAAUUCGCCGAUUCUGAAAUCUAAAGUUGCGACGACAGUAUUGCGGCUCUGUGCAUCCAUUUUAUGUUGCAUGUGAGAUUAGAUAUGGCGAAUACGAAAAAAAAUUGAGGAAAGAGACUUGAAUACAUGAUUGUAGAAUUGCGUGUAACAAAGAAGAGGAAGGAGUUGAACACAAGAUGUAUUUCUAUACUAUUUUAUGAAAUGGAAUAGAUUGUCUUCCUUUCAAAUUCGACACUUCUCUUUUUGCCAUGUUUAUUAAUAUAUAAUGUACUAUUUAUCAUGUUAUAUAUUUCAUUCGAUGCUUGAAAAAGAAGAUUCAAUCUUGUUUGCAACUGUAGUUUACAAAUUUUAUGUAUUGGUUGUUGUUCCAUGUUUCAUUGAUAUUAGUUUUGUAUCAGUAUGUAUAUGAGUUUUAUUGGUGUGUAUAUGAUUUGUAAAGAAAAAUAAUAUAGUUAACAUAAAUGGAAUAAAAUUUAUUAUACCAUCAAAUAACAUAAAAUACAAUGUGAUGUCGAAUGGAAUAAUAAUCAUAAGUUAUAUUUGGGUUUAUAGUGUAAUGAUUAGAGUUUAGAUUUACUAAUUAGGGAUUUAGGUGUAAUAUUUAGUGGUUGUGUGAGAGUUUACUAUGUAAAGGUUAAAGGUUAGAUUGAGCUCAUAUACUAUUUCAACAGUUAUAUAUAUGUUAUAUUUGGGUUUAUAGUUUACCGAUUAGGGUUUAGAUUUACUAAUUAGGGGUUUGGGUGUAGUAUUUAAUGGUUGUGGGACGGUAUACUAUAUAGGGGUUAGAGGGCAAGUUGAGAUCCUAUACUAUUUCAAUGAUAUGGAAUAGAACACGCACAACCUUUCAAACUAAGAGAAUAUGCAUUCCUG